This 77-nucleotide transfer RNA is filed under the name Lysobacterales bacterium CG_4_9_14_3_um_filter_62_6. RNAcentral's name for it is "Xanthomonadales bacterium CG_4_9_14_3_um_filter_62_6 tRNA-Arg". It matches the Rfam family "tRNA". From Rfam's summary of the family: Transfer RNA (tRNA) molecules are approximately 80 nucleotides in length. Their secondary structure includes four short double-helical elements and three loops (D, anti-codon, and T loops). Further hydrogen bonds mediate the characteristic L-shaped molecular structure. tRNAs have two regions of fundamental functional importance: the anti-codon, which is responsible for specific mRNA codon recognition, and the 3' end, to which the tRNAs corresponding amino acid is attached (by aminoacyl-tRNA synthetases). tRNAs cope with the degeneracy of the genetic code in two manners: having more than one tRNA (with a specific anti-codon) for a particular amino acid; and 'wobble' base-pairing, i.e. permitting non-standard base-pairing at the 3rd anti-codon position. Lineage: Bacteria; Pseudomonadati; Pseudomonadota; Gammaproteobacteria; Lysobacterales. The record is from RNAcentral. RNAcentral also lists the same sequence under 1 other name.
GCGCCCGUAGCUCAGAUGGAUAGAGUACUUCCCUCCGAAGGAAGGAGUCGGGGGUUCGAAUCCCUCCGGGCGCGCCA